CGCCUGUUUGCGCGGCGGAGACGGCGGUGGCUUCUGGGCUUGAGCUGCUGCCUCGAGCUCCGAGGUCAGCAUGUCGAACAUGACCUGGACGUCCUUGUACCCGCAGGUCUGCACGUCCUCGUGGAGCUUCAGGAUGCCGCCACUGCCUGUGUUGAGGUGAGAUCUUGUCAGACGCAUAGUGGCGAGGAAAACAAAAUUCAUGAAUCAGCUAUCAGUUCUGUGAAGAGGCAUUAUUCAUGUGUUUUCUUAAAUUAAUCUCGGGAAAGCGAAAUAAACAGAACCAUCAAGAACCUCCCUUAAAAGUUCAUCAGACAGAUAUAGCCAAACUUGUCAUCUAAUCAAAAUGCUGGUUAUUAAUCUAAAAGUUGAAUUCAUAAGCAAAUAAAUUUGCUAAUUUGGUACAUAUACGAAACUAAUGCAUCUUUUAGGACUGUUGCAAUUAUUUAAGCAAAUGAUUUCCUAACAAAUUUGUGCUAAACGAAAUAAAGAACUCUAUUGAACGUGAGGCUUAGCUUGGGAUUUCCAUGACAAACGUCGAAGCGCAGCACCAAAAGAAAACAAAAAUCAACAAGGCAAGGUGGCAAAUGUAACGAGGACAUCUUUGCAGAAAAAACAUGUAGAAGGAGAAAUAUUCACUUAUUGCUUUACACUUUGUUACUAUUUUAUAAUGUAAAAGAGACAGUCCCUCCACUUCCCUUGGGCUAAACCGCCAAAUGGCAUCAUAGGUAGGAACUUUGGACCAUCCCAAUCCCAAGAAAAGUUACCAGAAAUUGACCUAAGCAACCCAAUGGACGGCUGCGGUACAAAAAGAGAACCUCCCUAAAAAAGAAUGCAAAAGCAGCAUUGGCCACGUCCCAAAAGAUCGGUACAAAUCAUAUAGUGAGUGACGCCCUUUUGUUUAAGAAACUUCCUACUGAUGAUUCUCUGAUGCACCGUUGAAAAGUGAUUCUCUGAUGCCAUCUGCAGUUUCACUGCCAAGGCACCGUGUCCGUUUGGCCUGAGCAGCCUUUUUCCCCGCUGUGGCUGACAUAGGCUCACGAAUCACGAUUUUGGUCCACAGGGGAUGGCUCCAUCCGGUUUCGAUUUUCUCCUCUCUCGGCACCCAGGACGUGGAUUUUGUACGAAACUUAAGGUAAAAAUCUCCCAAAACCUCGCACAAUUCCCGUGCUCCCAAGAAAGCAGGCUCCACUGCUCCAGUAUUCAAUCAAAGGCUGCAUGCACAGGAAGCUACUGCUGCAUCGUGAAGCUUUUCUUUUACUACUACUGCAUGCAGAAGCCCAUCCGGUUCUGCAUUCACUCGCCGCGCUCCACCCCAGUACGCAUACGUAUCCAAGGCACGCGAGAUAUUUAAGGCCGGCACGUGGGCCGAUAGCGACAUCCGACGCGGGACACAGCAGCAGCAGCGGCCGGGGCCCACCGUCGGCGGCGCUAAAGGUCAAUGGCGGCAGCGGGGGGCCAGCGGGCCAGGGAGAGGGAGGGGGCCGUGUCAAUGUGCCACCAUGUGGCGCGUGUGCGCGUGUGUGUGGUUGGGGGACGGACGCGCCCCUGGCUGCGGCCCCGCGCGCGCCUCGUGGUGAGGCCGCCGGGCCACGCAGCGCGGCGCGGCCAUUCAAGUCGAGAUCGUGCGGAGAUUUUCGUGCGGCUGCUGCGCAACGGGAUCCGGGCGAGGGGGAUGGAUCCAAUAUAAGCCGCUCCUUUUCGCUGCGCUGCCAUUGCCAGCAGCGGCGGCAGCAGCCCCUUGUACCCUUCAAUUCAAGCCUUCACCUUCGUGAAUCUGAUGACUAGCUAUUCAUGCUAUGUGAUAUCCUGGAGGGAGACGUUUACCUCUGCUUGGUCGUUUCUCAGAUUGUGCUAAACUUGGCAUUGAGGCGCAGCCCACAUGAUAUAGCCCGGUCGAUGCAGGCUAGUUAGUAUUCAAGCUGAAUAUUACGUGUCCUUUUUUCCCUUUUUUUUUACAAAUUUGAGUGUCGAUUUCAUAUACUACUGCAUUUUUUUGAACAGAAAAAACUGGAGAAGAGAAACAGUAGAGCCGAAACCGACUUCAGUUCCGGAGUUCAGGGAGAGAACAACCAAUAGAGCAGUCGAGUGCUGUGUGUAACCAGAACCGAGCCUGGUACCAGCUGAGUCGCCAAAACGAAAAUUCGAGAGACGAGCAUACUCUAACCCUCGUAUCAUGCAUGUAUGUUUUUGGAGAUGAUUUGACCAUUAAUUUCGUAUACCCUUCCUUAACCCUUAUUUCGUUGAACAUGUUCUACGAUUCCUCUGUAGAAUCCGGAACAGAGACAAAGCGAACCCGAGUCAGCCGACGAACUCGACAACAAAAUCGAGCAAGCAACCACUACGAGUCUACGACGCCCAGGAGAACGAACGAGAUGUACGAUCGCUUUUUCGAGUCUAAUUCUCAAGGAUUCCCCCCAAAACAUUAACAGAGAGAGCAUCCGGAUGAGGGAAGGGAAGGGAAGGGGGCAGGGAUGGUCACUGACCGGGCUUGCGCGCGCGGAGCCGCGCGGCGACGGCGGCCCAGGCGCGGCGCGCGCGGGGCACCACCUUCCUCCGCCACCACGCCACCAUCCCGCGACGCUGGCGACGGUGCCCCUUCUUCCGCCUGCGAGGCUGCGCUGCCUGCCUCCGAGUCUCCUGGCCGCGGCGGCGUCGCCCUGCCCCGGCGGGGUGUGUGUCUGCCUGUGAAGGGGAGUCGGGGGCAGCGCGUGGUUUCAGUUG
This 2721-nucleotide long non-coding RNA is filed under the name Setaria italica (foxtail millet). RNAcentral describes it as "long non-coding RNA (SITA_LNC004223)". Lineage: Eukaryota; Viridiplantae; Streptophyta; Magnoliopsida; Poales; Poaceae. The record is from RNAcentral.